Molecule: ribosomal RNA, 253 nt
Filed under: uncultured bacterium
Lineage: Bacteria
Description: partial 16S ribosomal RNA
Rfam family: Bacterial small subunit ribosomal RNA
Source: RNAcentral
UACGGAGGGUGCAAGCGUUAUCCGGAUUCACUGGGUUUAAAGGGAGCGUAGGUGGGUUGGUAAGUCAGUGGUGAAAUCCCCGAGCUUAACUUGGGAACUGCCAUUGAUACUAUCAGUCUUGAAUACUGUGGAGGUUAGCGGAAUAUGUCAUGUAGCGGUGAAAUGCUUAGAUAUGACAUAGAACACCAAUUGCGAAGGCAGCUGUCUACACAAUUAUUGACACUGAGGCUCGAAAGCGUGGGGAUCAAACAGG